AUCACCGGGGGAUCUUGUUGAAAUGCAGAUUCUGAUUCAGUAAGUCUGGGGCAGAGCACGAGCUUCUGCAUUUCUAACAAGCUCCUGGGUGAUGCCAG
Molecule: microRNA precursor, 98 nt
Filed under: Equus caballus (horse)
Lineage: Eukaryota; Metazoa; Chordata; Mammalia; Perissodactyla; Equidae
Description: mir-544 microRNA precursor family
Rfam family: mir-544 microRNA precursor family
Source: Rfam by way of RNAcentral